RNAcentral lists this ribosomal RNA (297 nucleotides) under uncultured bacterium. RNAcentral's name for it is "partial 16S ribosomal RNA". It matches the Rfam family "Bacterial small subunit ribosomal RNA", at positions 28 to 334 of the family's 1533-position model. The record is from RNAcentral.
GAUGAACGCUGACAGAAUGCUUAACACAUGCAAGUCGACCCGAGUCUUCGGACUUGGGUGGCGCACGGGUGAGUAACGCGUAAAGAACUUGCCUCUUAGACUGGGACAACAUCUGGAAACGGAUGCUAAUACCGGAUAUUAUCGUUUCUUCGCAUGGAGGAAUCAUGAAAGCUAUAUGCGCUAAGAGAGAGCUUUGCGUCCCAUUAGCUGGUUGGUGAGGUAACGGCCCACCAAGGCAAUGAUGGGUAGCCGGCCUGAGAGGGUGAACGGCCACAAGGGGACUGAGACACGGCCCUU